Molecule: ribosomal RNA, 301 nt
Filed under: uncultured bacterium
Lineage: Bacteria
Description: partial 16S ribosomal RNA
Rfam family: Bacterial small subunit ribosomal RNA
Source: RNAcentral
CAGCCGCCACGGUAAUACGUAGGGUGCGAGCGUUAAUCGGAAUUACUGGGCGUAAAGCGUGCGCAGGCGGUUGUGUAAGACAGGUGUGAAAUCCCCGGGCUUAACCUGGGAACUGCGCUUGUGACUGCACAGCUAGAGUAUGGCAGAGGGGGGUGGAAUUCCACGUGUAGCAGUGAAAUGCGUAGAGAUGUGGAGGAACACCGAUGGCGAAGGCAGCCCCCUGGGCCAAUACUGACGCUCAUGCACGAAAGCGUGGGGAGCAAACAGGAUUAGAUACCCCCGUAGUCCCUGUCUCUUAUAC